This is a long non-coding RNA of Formica exsecta, 4056 nucleotides long. RefSeq lists it as uncharacterized. NCBI's taxonomy places the organism in Eukaryota, Metazoa, Arthropoda, Insecta, Hymenoptera, Formicidae. The transcript has 2 exons. The record is from RefSeq and is a predicted model, not a curated record.
GAAAGAGAGAUAGAGGGAGAGAGAGAAAAGAGAGGGAAAGGAGAAAGAGAGCCGACUGAAUCUCGCGUAGGCUGUCUGCCAGUAAACAGGCUCCUUCAUUCACUGCUUAUUUUAUACGGACGGCCCCUAUAUGCCCCACAGAAAUAGCCACUCUCGUUCCGUCCUCGUCGCACGCAUGCACGCACCAUGCACGCACGCACGUACGUACGUACGUUUGUACGCAUGGGCCGGAUACGCUCUCUCGCGCUUGCGUCUCUCUCUCUGUCUCUUUUCCAAUCCGACUCUCUCACCCCCCGUGUUUCUGGCUAACCUUUCUCUCGCGCUCCCGCAUUCGUGUCACGCGGCUCGCAUCUCGGAUAACCGCGUUGGUCUCCGUAAAAAAACGCCAAGCGGGAGUAUGUCGUGACGGCCGCACUCCUCGUCGCGCAUCCUUCCACCCUCUCGGCGACCUUUUCUCCUCAAUGUCCUUUCCCUCUCUCUUCGAGGCGUUGACUCUUUCGACCGACCGCGCCGAGGGAUGCUUCGCUCUCUUCCGUUACGAACAGUAGCGCGUCGUCGACGCCGUCGAUGACGACAGGUGCACCGAUACCCUUCGUCCGAUUUGUAGAUUGUUGACGGUAUCCGAAAUUCCUUUCACUCAUACGUCUCCAUUGUCGUCGCUCCGACGACGGUAAACAAUAUUUGCUCGCAGUAUUUAUUUCGCGCUCGUUUCUUUUACGAAAACUUUCCUCCGUCUUUGAACCGGAGCUAUUUUCCCAACGUAUCACCGUAACGCGUCUUUAAUGACGACACGCGCGAAUGACGGCAGUGACGAUUUUUUGGCGAAGAACAGGGGGAGGGAUAGAUACGAUAUCGUGCCUUCUCAACAGAUAGAUAGAUCGGGUUGGCGAACGAUGUAGGAGUUUGCGCCUCCGCUGGUUCUCCCGAAUGGCGAGCCUCCGGGUCGCACUAAUGUGUAUUACACAUACACACCCGCACGCACACACGUAAGAGGAACACACGCGCGUGUCUCUCUGAAAUACCGGGUGAUAUAUAUUUGUGCGAUAGUGUGCGCGUUCUCUCUCUUUCCUCGUCUCUCGCGUCGUUGAGACGAGAAUGGUGGGAUUAUGAGCGGGCAAAGAGUGGAAGGAAGUGAAAAGAGACAGAAAAGAAAGACCGUCAGGGGAGUUGGUCGAAGGGCGAGCAGUGAAGAGGAGCAAAGAGGACGUAGAGGGAACGAUCUCGCGCGCGCACGCGUCUUGUACGCGCGUUCGCUCACUCAGCCGAGCGUACGCGAGGGAGACGAUAGAGUUGAGUUUCGUGUGCGAGAGAGAAGCAAAAGUUCAGCUGGCCUCGGCAGCCAUGCCGGUGUACAGCUCGUGGCGAGUGCGAGUCAGGCGCGUAUUAUCUCGUCGACGGGGCCACUGGUCGGAUCGGAUCUUUCUUUCCUCUUGAUCUUUCGAAGAGUAACAGGACGUACAUACUUGAGGGGAGCGCCUUGGCUUAUCUAAUAAGGUAAUACGGGCGAGAACGUUGUAUCGUACACGUAUCACGUAUGUACACAUAUAUAGGGAGAUACUCAAGGUCCCUCACGGAGCAUUAGUUUAAGUUACACUACACUCUAUGGUCUUUGCGAAUUUAACACGGAGGCGCGCACCUGUCCAAAAGUGGCCGUGGGGUACAAAAGUUGAAAAAGAACUGCACCCCUAAAGAUUAUCGCUGUCGUUAAAAAGUUUUUUUGCAAUACUAUAUUUCGUAUCCGCUACUGUCCCACAUUCAUCAUUUCAUUUCAUUUUCUAUGUUUAUUUCAAGCAUACUCAAGCCGUAUGUAUCAUAUUGAAUAUUUAUGCAACAUGACUGUUGUGGUUGAAAAAAUACGAAAUAUAUAUUUAUCAUUAAUUUACUAUCAGCUGUCUGAUUUUUUUGACCUUACGUUCAAUCUUUCGCACAUAUCAAACGCUUUAGAUUGAAGUUGAACAGUCGAACAGUCGAUUCUGGUUGUGAGUCAUGAUGAAUACUCAGAAUCUAUUCGGGAUAUUCUUGGAAGUGAAGAGAGUGAGAAAAAAAGUAAGCAAAAGAGGGGAGCAACUAUCUGUAAUACUCCUCAAUAGUGUUUGUACGAUUGUUGAUAACAUUUCUCUCCGAUGAAAAUACGGAUUAUUAAUUAAUAUAUGUCGUCAGUGUUUAUCGCAUCUAAGAUCUAAUAUCGCAAAAAAAAUGCAUUUCGAUGAAUUCGCUUGCGUCGAAUCGAAUCGUCGCGGAAUAACGACGGCGUUGCAACCGGAGGCAAAAUAUGACGUACUUUGUUCCGAGAAGCGGCAAAAGGCACUUCCUCGCUGCCAUGAUAUUCAUCGGUCGAUUGGUGAUUCGACCGACAGUACGGGGAAUGUUCAUCACGAGACUCAUUCAAGUAUCUCACUCAUUUCUCCGAAACAUACAUACACAUAAAUGUCGAGAGGAUUAAUAUAAAAAACGCAGUGUUACAAGGCAGCUGACAAUCGAUCGAUUUAUACGUCAUCUUCUCGACGAAGAGCGGAUCUAUUAAUCUAUCCAUUCAGAUAAUAACAACAAGCAUUCGUAACUCGAUUUAAUCAGAAAUAGAUGGAAACUUGUCAAAAUACAUGUCGAUUUUACGGUCGAUUUUUCAGUUCAGUUUCCACAUUAGUAUUCUAAUAGAGAGAUAUCGUAUGUGAAUUAUCUCGCAAAAUACCAUUAUCUAUAUCUAUUAGCCAUACGGAAAUAAUCAAAAUAUGGAAUUUAUUUCCGCCUUAUUAUCGGAUAAUCAUACGAUUAAAAUAUCAUGCAGAGCACUAAAAAAGAGAGAUAUUUGCCCAAUUUGCUCAUGUCAUUUCGCAUUGGGGCUCGACACUCGACACGAGACAAGUAACUCGCGUUGGCUGAACAAUCCAAUCGACGCAGCCUCGGUUGUCUUUUCUCGGCCAUUUAUACUGUUAGUAAUACGAGCGACGACGUUUAUAUCUACACGCCACACGGGCGUGGCGGCGAUGCGAAUCGCGUGCACCGCUUCCCUCGAGAGGAUAUCCGGUGUGGAAACGUUUCCCCUCCCGUUCGGUCCCCUCUCUUUCUCUCCUCUUGGUUUCCCUCUCCGUCUUGCUCGAUAGAAUCGCGCGUAUAUCAUCCUCUGCUCCCCCACCCUCAACGUCAUUCUUCUUUCAUAGCACGCUAACAGCACGUCCUCAAUGAGUCGACCAACAGUCGCAUUCGCAUUGAAAGUUUUACUUUACGUGAAAUACAACGGAGCCCGUGAUGGGAUUUUUCGUGGACAGACCCUAAGUCUGUCGCAAUUCACGCCCAUUCAUCCGUAAAAAUCCCUUUUGCGAUCGAGCGAGACUUUGUUGGCUCUUUUCCAAGUUUUUGUAUUUCUUUUCUUUUCUCCAAUUCUCAGAGUCAGGUCAUGGUAAUGGAUUAAUGAAUAGCGACUUUUUAGAAUUUAAAUUUAAACAUCUUUGUAAUUGAUGAUGCGUAAUUUUUGUCUCUAACGUUUGAGAUUUCAAGUCGAAUUUUAAAUUCCAAAACUAAAUGCAUUCAUAGUAUAACUCGAAACGUGUUAAAAUUUAAAAUACGAACAUUUUGAAAUGUCUUUAAGAAAAAUGUUCUUUUCGAUGAUUUCAUUGAAAACUUUUAAAUUCUUUCCUCGUUUUCCUCUCUAUAUUUUCCUGCGCCAUUGCUUUCAGUAAUUGCAAGGUUAAUUGUCUCUAAUUAAGUAAGUCAUUCGGGCGAUAUAAAGAAAUUAGUGUACUCGGAAUAGCAGUGGCGAAAUGUUACCCUCGUUUUCACAAUUAUAUAUUUCCUACUCGCUUCCCUCUCUCUCUCACAUUUUCUUAUAUUUUGAGACCUACUUUUAUUAUGUUUUCAUUGAGAAUGUUAUAUCGCAACAUUAAAUAUUUAAUUAUUGUACAGCGUUGCAAUUUCAAAAAACGAUAAUAAGAUAUGUUUCUAUUAUUAGAAAUUAACGAUAAAUAUCUCUGGCCUCUUUUCAUCCUCGAAUAGAGUCGACUACGCGCUUCUAAAUUUUGCCGUUUAUUUCACGGACAUCGCAUAUUGUUUAUCUAUAAA